Molecule: long non-coding RNA, 1326 nt
Organism: Tyto alba (common barn owl)
Lineage: Eukaryota; Metazoa; Chordata; Aves; Strigiformes; Tytonidae
Exons: 2
Source: RefSeq, a predicted model, not a curated record
UCUUCCUCCUGUCCGCUCUGUGACCCCAGGUUUUGCGCAGACUCAGUUUCUUACUGGCUGUUGUCCAAACCGCGGGUGUAGUUCCAACCGGCUUAAUACUGAUAAAGCCUAGAGAGCUCACCGUGUUUUACAAACUGUCUGUUCACUAAGCAGAACUGUUAACCGUUAUCUAAACUAUUUCCCUUGAACUAUUUUCUUUUGUUAUCCCCUUCUUGCUAUUAUCCCCUUCUUGCUAUUCUCAUGUUAACCCUUACAUCCCCUGUUCCUAUCUUGGCCCUGUAUCACUAGGAGGGGUGAGACUUCAUUCCUCCAGUCCCCUGCCUUGAGAGACAACUGAGAGUUGUGGGAAAAGGAAUUGCCACUGAAAACUGAGGGAGGGAGGCUCUACCUUUCCGUACAACGCGAUAUCUUCUGGUCGCCGGACCCUAACUACCACAGACCAUGAAGAAGACCACGGUGAAGCAGGUUGUCCUCCCAUGAGCCACAGAGAACCAUGCCAAGGCAGAUAUCCACACUGCAUCCAUGGAGGACCCCACACUGCGGUAAGUGGAGAUGCCCUGAAGGACGGUGCUGCCUCUGGAGGGGAUUCCACCAUUUUCUGGCAGAAAUGGCAGCCCCUGGGCAAAACCAAGGAUGAAGCAGCCUGGGAAGGGCUGUAUCAAUUUGGUGGGACGCCACGUAGGAGCAGGGGAACAGCGGCAAAGACAAAGUGUUAUGGAGUGAUGGCAACCCUCAUUCCUCAUCCCUCUUCGCCCCCUGAAGAAGAGGUGGUCAAACAGUUGGGAAUGGAAGAGCCAUGUUGAACCUGGGAAGAAGAUGGAGUGGGGGGAAGGUGGUUUUACUUUUUUUUUAUUAUUAUCAUACAGUAAUUGGAAAUAAAUUGGAUUGGGCUCCCUCGAAUAGAGGCUGCUUUGCCUGCGAGGGUGGUCGGGGGACAGUUCUCCCAGAACCACGGCGCUGUGGGUCAGGAGGGGCUUUUGGAGAAGAGCAUGGGGUGCCAGCCCCUGCCGAGCGCAGAGACACCUUCCCGCAGCCCCCGUCACCCCCAGCCCCACCCAGCCUGGCCAGAGAGGGACAGUCCUGGCCCAGACUGACAACCAAAGGGCGGAGGCGCGCUGAGGGAACCCUCAGGGAGAACAGUCUGUUGGCUGACCUGCACCCUUUUGGCUCAUCGCUCCUCAAGCUUACAGGUUCUGCAGUCGGUUGUGCAGCACCAACCCCUCUUGCGUCCCUGAACCCGGGGUUUGCCACCGCUGUCUACGUUUACGGGAUUCUGAUGAAAGGCCCAGAUCUCGUUGAAGCUAAGAGCUGCCCCAGCUCGACGGC